RNAcentral lists this unclassified non-coding RNA (430 nucleotides) under Hevea brasiliensis (rubber tree). Lineage: Eukaryota; Viridiplantae; Streptophyta; Magnoliopsida; Malpighiales; Euphorbiaceae. The record is from RNAcentral.
UGGGCACUUAUAUAUGAAGACAAAAAGCAAACCUCACCCCAUUAAUUGUCUCUCUCCAACGCCAGCCAGGUGUUAGCGUUUCGAGGAGGAGAAGACAUCAAAGCACUUCUCCUUCAAUCAAUUUUACAGAUUUGUAGCCCUAGAUCAAUCCGUAGGGCUCUGAUUGGGUUCUUUCGGAUCGGAGGAUAAGCGAACCGGAUCAACGAUGUUCUUGGUAGAUUGGUUCUAUGGAAUUCUCGCAACCCUCGGUUUAUGGCAGAAGGAGGCGAAGAUCUUGUUUUUGGGUCUCGAUAAUGCCGGAAAGACCACCUUGCUCCAUAUGUUGAAAGAUGAGAGAUUGGUUCAACAUCAGCCAACACAAUACCCAACGUCAGAGGAGCUUAGUAUUGGAAAGAUCAAGUUCAAAGCAUUUGACUUGGGUGGUCAUCAG